AUAUAGAAUGCUCUCCUCCUCUCCAGCACUGGGUCUGCCUACACACGGCUAUGCUUCCCACCAUGAUGAUAAGAACUAAAUCCCUGAAACUAAGCCAGCCCAAAGCAUGUUUUCCAUUAUAAGAGCUGCUAUGGUCAUGCUGUCUCUUCACAGCAAUAGAACCCCUGAGACAGUGUGUUUGGAGGUGGGAAGACAAUUGUCGGGAGUCAGCUCUCUCCUUCCAUCACUGUGGAUCCCAGGCCGUCAGCUCAGUGAUGAGCAUCUAUCUGUACCUCUAAUCCAUCUCCUCCUUGCCCUUCGCAAUGGCUAUGCCUGCUUGUCAACUUGAUGAUAUCUAGAAUGAACAACAAUCCAGAAAUGGAGGACACCUCUAUGGGAGAUUACUUCGCUGGGUUUGAAGUGGAUGAAUCUACUUCUAGACUUGAGCUUUGAGGUGGGGAAGACAUACCUUUAACCUGGGCCACACCUUCUGCUGGAAGUCUGUGGAAGAGGACAACAUAGGACAAUUUUGCUCUUUGCCUGCUUGCCCUUGCCUUUCCAACACAUUCCUUCCCUCACUGGCAUUAGCGCCUACUUCUGCGGGACUCCACAGAUACAGGAGAUCAGCUGAGACAUCCAGCCUUGUGGACUGAGCAACUACUGGAUGCUUGGGCUUUGUGUUCACAGCCAAUCGUUGUUUGAUUAGCUGGACAACAGCCUGAUAGAUAGAUAGAUAGAUAGAUAAAAGUAGAUAGACAGACAGAGGGGGAGAGAGAGAUUCAUUCUAUAAGUUCUGCUCUAGAGAACCAUGAUUAAUACACCUUCUUCUUAACAUUCUUUUCUUUUCUUUUUUUCUUUUCUUUUCUUUUCUUUUCUUUUCUUUUCUUUUCUUUUCUUUUCUUUUUUUUUGAGACAUAGUCUCCCAUAGUUGCUCAGGCCCUUGGGCUUCCUCUGCAGAACAAAUAGCUUUGAAUUUUCUAUCCUGCCUUAGCCUCCAGUAGCUAGGAUUAUAGUCUGUUGCCACCAUGUCUGGCUUACUAGCAUUAUUUUUACACCACUAAUUUUGUGUCAUGGCAUCGAUAGAAAUCUAGCUGAGUCUAGUCAAUGGAAAACCCAAAACAAGACGUCAGCAUAGGUACUGCUAGCAAUAUCUGCAGAAGACCAUGGACUCGGAGUGGAGUCCAGUAUUUGCCCAGUACACCAGUGAAUGUCGGGUAAUUUCCAAGGCAGGGAUCUGCGAAUCAUUGGCUCCUGGAGGCCCUGAGAUGGACUGAGCACAGAACUAUUAAGUUCUCUGUGUGUGUGUGUGUCCGUUCUCUCGCUCUGCGGACACCUUCAGAAUUCAGCGCUGGCUGUUGUUCUUAGAACCUGCUCUGUUCUUGGAGCUGCGUCAUUGGUGUAUCGUUUUCUUUGUUCAAUUAAACUCUACUUCCUAUGAUAGGACUAAGGAAUUCUUCCUUUCCUCAACACAAUUACAUCAACAAUUAAAUAUGAAAUGUGUGGACCCGGCUUC
This 1492-nucleotide long non-coding RNA is filed under the name Mus pahari (shrew mouse). RNAcentral describes it as "lncRNA (MGP_PahariEiJ_G0004868.1)". The record is from RNAcentral. Lineage: Eukaryota; Metazoa; Chordata; Mammalia; Rodentia; Muridae.